This is a small nuclear RNA of Nannospalax galili (Upper Galilee mountains blind mole rat), 106 nucleotides long. NCBI's taxonomy places the organism in Eukaryota, Metazoa, Chordata, Mammalia, Rodentia, Spalacidae. The record is from Ensembl.
AUGUUUACUUCAAUAGCACGUAUACUAAAAUUAAAGACUAUACAGAUAAUUCGCAUGGCCCCUUCGCAGGGAUAAUGUGCAAACUUAUGAAGCAUUCUGUAUUUUA